Molecule: long non-coding RNA, 255 nt
Filed under: Elaeis guineensis (African oil palm)
Lineage: Eukaryota; Viridiplantae; Streptophyta; Magnoliopsida; Arecales; Arecaceae
Description: long non-coding RNA (EGUI_LNC044494)
Source: RNAcentral
AGACCCUCUCCCUCUUCUGCAACCACCUCUCCAGGCCCAUCCCCGCUAACAUUGCCUCCAUCCAAAGCCUCAUUCGCCUUUGAACUCUCCCACGACAACCUCCCCGACUCCAUCCUUUCGAGAUCGAUGCCUUGGAGUCCCUCUCCCAUCUCGAUCUCUCCUCCAACGUCCUCAAUGGCUCCAUCCCUACAGAGAUGCUGGAACACGGAACAGAUAGGCUGAAAUUCAGGCUCGGGCUUGAGCCCAAAAUUCGGA